GCAGGCGGCCGCGAAUUCACUAGUGAUUAGAGUUUGAUCAUGGCUCAGAAUGAACGCUGGCGGCGUGCUUAACACAUGCAAGUCGUACGAGAAAUCCUCUGCUUGCAGGGGAGAGUAAAGUGGCGCACGGGUGAGUAUCGCGUGGGUAAUCUACCCUUGAAUUCAGGAUAACAUUUCGAAAGGGGUGCUAAUACUGGAUAACAUCCUGAUGGUUUCGGCCAUAAGGAUCAAAGAUAGCCUCUACAUGUAAGCUAUAGUUCAGGGAUGAGCCCGCGUACCAUUAGCUAGUUGGUGGGGUAAGGGCCUACCAAGGCAACGAUGGUUAGCUGGUCUGAGAGGAUGAUCAGCCACACUGGAACUGAAACACGGUCCAGACUCCUACGGGAGGCAGCAGUGAGGAAUUUUGCGCAAUGGGGGAAACCCUGACGCAGCAACGCCGCGUGAGUGAAGAAGGCUUUCGGGUCGUAAAGCUCCGUCAAGAGGGAAGAA
RNAcentral lists this ribosomal RNA (489 nucleotides) under uncultured delta proteobacterium. RNAcentral's name for it is "bacterial SSU rRNA". It matches the Rfam family "Bacterial small subunit ribosomal RNA", at positions 1 to 449 of the family's 1533-position model. Lineage: Bacteria; Deltaproteobacteria. The record is from RNAcentral.